CCUACGGGAGACAGCAGUGAGGAAUAUUGGUCAAUGGGCGAGAGCCUGAACCAGCCAAGUCGCGUGAGGGAGUACUGCCCUAUGGGUUGUAAACCUCUUUUGUCGGGGAGCAAAAGCCGGACGUGUCCGGCUGUGAGAGUACCCGAAGAAAAAGCAUCGGCUAACUCCGUGCCAGCAGCCGCGGUAAUACGGAGGAUGCGAGCGUUAUCCGGAUUUAUUGGGGUUAAAGGGUGCGCAGGCGGAUUUUUAAGUCAGCGGUCAAAUCGUGGGGCUCAACCCCAUCCAGCCGUUGAAACUGGGGAUCUAGAGUGUGCGAGAGGUAUGCGGAAUGCGUGGUGUAGCGGUGAAAUGCAUAGAGAUCACGCAGAACCCCGAUUGCGAAGGCAGCAUACCGGUGCACAACUGACGCUCAGGCACGAAAGCGUGGGUAUCGAACAGGAUUAGAUACCCUGGUAGUC
RNAcentral lists this ribosomal RNA (458 nucleotides) under uncultured bacterium. RNAcentral's name for it is "partial 16S ribosomal RNA". It matches the Rfam family "Bacterial small subunit ribosomal RNA", at positions 338 to 795 of the family's 1533-position model. The record is from RNAcentral.